Molecule: non-coding RNA, 2483 nt
Organism: Arvicanthis niloticus (Nile rat)
Lineage: Eukaryota; Metazoa; Chordata; Mammalia; Rodentia; Muridae
Source: RefSeq, a predicted model, not a curated record
UCCUUCCGGGAAAGGCUGAUUGUGCUGUCACGAAUCGUGUGUGUUGAGGAGCGGCUCUGGAGACUUAAAGAGCCCGACGCUCAAGUGAUAUUGCCAACUACCAUUCCAAUAAACUUAUUUUAUUUUGUUGUGGUACAGGCUCAGAGCCCAAUGCAACCCCUGGGAGAUGUCUCCAGCACCAGAGUGACACUCAGCCUGAAGCCUGGGAGCUUGAGGGCUGGAAGUACAAGAACAAGAAAUACCUUUGAAAACACUUCAGUGCUCAGACUGCUCACUGGUGUUUCUGCCUUGUGAGCUGGGGCAUGAGGCUUUGGGUCACUACUUUUCAUUCCCUCUAAGAUGGACAAGAUGCUUGUUUUAUGCACAGUACGUGGAGCACAGGGCCUCAGGCAUGGCACUUGUGUGUUCUCUAAGUGGGCUCCACCCAGUUCAGAAGCUAAGGAAUGGAACAGUGCCUUGAACACGCUAUGUAAGCCUCCUAACGGCCAAGCUGAUCCUCCAGCUCUACAGACAUCCUUUCACUGAGCAGUUAUUUCUUCUCUGAUGUUCUCAUCGCUGCAGAUGGCCUCCAAAUACUUUUGAGCCCUUGCUGAAAAAGCUGGAGAUAGAGGCAAACAUGAAAAGGGGAUGCAGGAUGGAAGAGGCAAAGGGAGAGAAGCAGGCGAGCAACUCCACAAUGAUACUCAUUCCUUUAUUGUCAACUGUGUUCAUCUCAACAGGGCUGGGGCCUGCAGGCUGCUGCAGCACCAAGCUAGGGUGCAUUUCCACUUAACAGAAAGGCCUCCAUCCUCAACCAAGGGGACAGAGGUGAAUGCUUUAUAUAUAUUUAUAUAUUUAUAUAUUACAUAUGUCCCAGAUAGUCAUUGUAUAGAGUGACAAGAAUGGGCCACUGUGUGUAACUUGAAUUAAAGGCCAUAGCAACAGACAUAGAAAUUUGAUCCUAAUUAAGGCCCUUACUUUGUCAAUCAAAUGUCUGAUACAGUAAAAGAAAAAGGAGAGAGACAGAAACUGAGAUCCAGCCACUCCCAGUAGCUCUGUCCCCAGGGUAUCUUACAUUGAGUGUAGUGCCCCCUGUACAGAUAAACAUAAAUACACACAUAAACACACGUACAAUACCAUAGGCAGGAGCACCUCCUCUGACCACACCUUGGGCCCAGCCUUUGGCUGUGGUGCUGAAGUGGGGUAUAUUGUGCUAUAAGACUGUGAGAGAGUGAGCCAGACAAUGUGGAGUCAGUGUGUCCACGUGAUGAAUGGGGUGACUCAUGCAGUUUCAUCUACAAGUGACAAAGAGGUCAGGGGGAGGUUCCUCAAUGCCCAGGUCACAUUGGGAGAUUCUACACACAGCUCCUGUCCCAGAGAAAGCCAUACUCUGAUUUAAAUCCUGAGUGUCAAAUAACCAUAGGGCUCUGAUGGAAAACUAGGAUUCCUUUGAAGGACAGACAACCGGAAGGCUCAACCAUUCAGUCCAGUAGAACAGUAGAAAGCACAGCAGUGGAGUCAGAGCAAGUGGUCCUCAGACAGGACCUUGAAUGGUGCAGAACGGGCUGAUUUCCACAAGAAUGAGAGCGGCCUGCUGCCCUCUGCCACACAAGCUCCUGGCAGAUCUGUCAGCUUCAUGCCUUACAUAGGAACAGACCUGCUCAUAAGCCAGGGAAGGGGACUCCAACAGUAGGGCACUUGCAAUCCUAACUUCCUGUUUUCUCUCACUAAAUUUACCCACCACCAGCCACCAAAAUAUACAUCUUGAAAAUAAGUCAGCAUAUUUGGCAGUAUGAUUUUUAGUAUUAAGAGAAUUUCUUAAUUUUUCAACUUAGUUUUAUACUUAAUAAAUGAUAAGUAAUCUGUUGUUAAAUGUUGAAAGCAGACAUGACAAUUUCUUAUACAACAGACUGUGUGCUCACCAGUGGCUUCCGAGCAGCCGUAGGGCAUGGACCGGAUUAGACCGGGCUAAGCACGGUGACACACACCUGUAACCCCUGCACUCUGGAGGCAGAGGCAGGAAAACAGCUGCAAGACUCUGGUCUACACCUGUGUGUUCCAAGCCAGCCGGGGCUACACAGACCCUGUCUCAGAGUAAAACAAAGCAAUGCAAAGCAGCAGAAAGAGACAAUUAUGAAUGUUUUUCUUAGAAGCAUAUCAAAAACACAAUUAGGGAAGGAAUCCAAGUUAGUUGUAGAACAGCUAGAACUGGAUGGUUUUCAUUUAAACUUUUUAAUUUAUUAUUUAUUUUCUCUUUUUUUGCUAUGGAGCCCAGGAGGACCUUGAACUCCCUGUCUGUCUACCUCCAUCUCCCAGUGCUGGGAUUAAAGGUGUGCAUGCACCACCAAACUCAGUUUAAACCCAACUGUAAGAAAUUUACUUCGUCUUUAGUUAUGUGUGUGUGUAUCUGUAGGUGGGUAUGUUCAUGUGUGUUCAGGUCACUGCAGAGGCCAUAAGGGAGUCCAGAUCCCCUGGAGCUGCCUGAUGUGGAUGCUGGAAACCCA